UCUGGCGGGGGGAUUCAGUUAGGAAAGGCGGAGGUGUGGUUCGGUCGAUUCCAACGGACCCUACCCGGGGCCGGGCCGGCUACACGGUCUCCGUUUUACCUGACGCAUUUCCUCCCGCACUAAGGACGCCGCAGCCGGUUGGGUAGCUGCGUGAGUCGGCCAUGAGGACGGGUACCGGCAGGUGGCCGGUGGCGUUGCUUCGGCUUCGCCGCCGGUUGUUAGCCAAUCCGUCCGUGGCGCGACACCCGACCGAGGUUGAAUGGUUCCCGUAUGGGAACUCGCCGUCCCCUGUCCCCUUCCGGGGAGGCAGUGGGCGCUCUGGCAGGCGUAUCGCGGUGUUGCCACGUCACUCCUCGUAGUGGCCGGUGCUCCGAGGUCGCUGUUGGCUGGAAGCGUCCCGCAGGGGUGCAGGCGGCUAGCGGCGAGUAGGUCGGUCACCCACCCGACCCGUCUUGAAACACGGACCAAGGAGUCUAACAUGUGCGCGAGUCACGGGGUCUUGAUUAGGCCCAGAGGCGCAAUGAAAGUGAAGGUCGACCUCGACGUCGGCUGUGUUGGGAUUUUCCGUCCCUCGGGGCGGGGAAGCACCAACGACCCGUCCUAUCCGAUUUAUCGGUUGGGCGGAGUCUGAGCGUACACGUUGGGACCCGAAAGAUGGUGAACUAUGCCUGGGCAGGACGAAGCCAGAGGAAACUCUGGUGGAGGUCCGUAGCGGUUCUGACUUGCAAAUCGAUCGUCAGACCCGGGUAUAGGG
RNAcentral lists this ribosomal RNA (754 nucleotides) under Harpactea hombergii. RNAcentral describes it as "eukaryotic LSU rRNA". The stretch from base 349 to 754 matches the Rfam family "Eukaryotic large subunit ribosomal RNA", at positions 1 to 922 of the family's 3401-position model. The record is from RNAcentral. Lineage: Eukaryota; Metazoa; Arthropoda; Arachnida; Araneae; Dysderidae.